CCAUGGCCCCAUCAGAAAAAAAAAUACUCAAAGGUGGGGGCUGCUGACCCUGUAUGACGGACACCCUUUCUCUCUCAUCAAGAGGACAUUGCGUGGGGCAGGCCUGGUGGUGUGCACUCUCAGUCCCAUCAUCCUGGGCAGUGAGUUUGAGGUCAGCCUGGUCUAUAAAGUGUUGCAGGCUAGUAGGGCUAGAUGGUGAGGUCUUGCCUCAUAGGUCAGAGCAGAAUCGUAACAGUCUUUCUUCCUUGCAGCUGCCAGCCCUGCUCCGUCCUCCUGAGCCCCGGCCCCUGCCCCAUGUGCUUCUGCAGGGGCUGGGGCUGCUGCUGGGGGGCAGCCUCAUGUUUACUAUAGCCCUGUUGGAGGAACAGCUACUGCCCGUGGUUCCUGAUGGCUGAUGUGGGCCAGUGGCAAAGGAUGCAGGCUGCCCUUCCUUCCCCCCACCACAGGAACGGAGGCGGGACACAGGGCCAGUAGGAGCAAUAGGAUUUUAAUAAACAGAACCCAUCCCAAA
Molecule: long non-coding RNA, 511 nt
Filed under: Rattus norvegicus (Norway rat)
Lineage: Eukaryota; Metazoa; Chordata; Mammalia; Rodentia; Muridae
Description: long non-coding RNA NONRATT026380
Source: RNAcentral